AUCCAUUUCUAACGUGGUCUAGACGUCUGAUUGACUUCUUGCACCUGAUUUCUGAUUUUUAACUUUAAUACCGCACCUGAUUUCGACGGUAUCAAGACGUUGAUCAGACGUCUAGACCAGACCACAUCGGAAAAACUCAUUUUCGACAGCCAAUUUCGACCGAAAUUGCACGUCAUGUCAGGGUCCAAUUUGGAUGUCCACAAGACGUCAAAAUUGGAUGUCCGAAAAAGACGUCCAAAAAAACUUAAAUUCUGGACCUUCAGGAGACGUGAUUUCGACGUCGAAAAAUUACGUUAUAUAGAUGUCUCAUUGCGUAGUGGGUCAUCUCAGCUGAAAAACAGCAUGGAAAAGAGGAGGUAUGUAGCAGUGAGCACUAUUACUAAACAUUCCCUCCUGUGGGAGCUGUGAGGUGUU
Molecule: non-coding RNA, 414 nt
Organism: Xyrichtys novacula (pearly razorfish)
Lineage: Eukaryota; Metazoa; Chordata; Actinopteri; Labriformes; Labridae
Source: the annotation of a GenBank genome assembly